Molecule: ribosomal RNA, 301 nt
Filed under: uncultured bacterium
Lineage: Bacteria
Description: partial 16S ribosomal RNA
Rfam family: Bacterial small subunit ribosomal RNA
Source: RNAcentral
CAGCAGCCGCGGGAAUACAGAGGGUGCGAGCGUUAAUCGGAUUUACUGGGCGUAAAGCGUGCGUAGGCGGCUUUUUAAGUCGGAUGUGAAAUCCCUGAGCUUAACUUAGGAAUUGCAUUCGAUACUGGGAAGCUAGAGUAUGGGAGAGGAUGGUAGAAUUCCAGGUGUAGCGGUGAAAUGCGUAGAGAUCUGGAGGAAUACCGAUGGCGAAGGCAGCCAUCUGGCCUAAUACUGACGCUGAGGUACGAAAGCAUGGGGAGCAAACAGGAUUAGAUACCCCGUAGUCCCUGUCUCUUAUACA